This 253-nucleotide ribosomal RNA is filed under the name uncultured bacterium. RNAcentral describes it as "partial 16S ribosomal RNA". It matches the Rfam family "Bacterial small subunit ribosomal RNA", at positions 524 to 776 of the family's 1533-position model. The record is from RNAcentral.
UACGUAGGUGACAAGCGUUGUCCGGAUUUACUGGGCGUAAAGAGCGCGCAGGCGGUCGAUCAAGUCGAGUGUGAAAGCCCCCGGCUCAACUGGGGAGGGUCAUUCGAUACUGAUCGACUCGAAGGCAGGAGAGGGUAGUGGAAUUCCCGGUGUAGUGGUGAAAUGCGUAGAUAUCGGGAGGAACACCAGUGGCGAAGGCGGGUCUCUGGACAGUUCCUGACGCUGAGGCACGAAGGCCAGGGGAGCAAACGGG